CAUGAACCACUCUUUAGUCUCCCUCGACGCCGCUCGACGACAAAAAAGCAACCCUGGUUUUCCGAUUUGUCAAUCUAUCACCCGACCCGGCUGCCGUUUGAUUUCCUCCAGGCUCCGUCCUCUCCGGCGACAGCAGCUGCAGAAGUUCGAUUCCCUCCGCCCUGCGGCCUCUCCAGUGACAGUCAACAGCAGCUUCACGCCUUCAUCAGUUCUCCUCCUCCUAUUCUCUUUCCCAAGCUCCCCGCCGAUUCACCUCUCUCUUCGUCUUCAACACGGUAUAACUUAAUUCACUUCUUCCUUAUCCCACUUUACAGCUAACAGUUUCGAUUCACUUCUAUCCGCAUCUUUCAGUUGAUUAGUUUGCUCAAUUGAUAUUGACUAUGUUUCAGUCUUUAGCUCGAGGCUUACUAAACGACGCCCUGGUUUUCGAAUUAAACGACGUCCUACAUUCAUAAUGAUCUAAACGUCCAUUCCGUAAAAAUGAAAAACAUGAAAAACUUACUAGUUCAAUCCAAAAAACCCUUAUUUAGUAAGUUUUAGUUGGUCGAAAACACUCUCCACGAACCACGGCUCAAAAUUGAAAAGGUACGAAAUUGAAUUUUGGAUCUGAAAAAAAAACAAUUCGGACUGACCAACCGGACAGACAGGCGUUCCAUCCGGUCAGACCAUCUGGACUGAAAUCGGUUCUGUCUGAGUGGUCUGACCGGAUGGAAAGUCGGUCCGUCCGGUUGGUCCGUCCAAUUUUUUACGGUACUACAUUGGAAGCAUUGCAAACUAGCAACCCUGCGUUGUUAGCCUCAAACCAGCGCUUGGAACAUAUGUUCUAGAGGUUCAUAGAAAGGAAUCGGGAGGACCCACCGGAUCGAGAACGUUGAGGGGUUCUACUCCGACCACCCCAGCUGGUACCGCACUUACCAAAACUCGAUUUUCCCUACUUUGCAGGCACCGACCCUACUUCAUGGGUGAGAAAAUACAUUAAGCUUUUUACCAUUCAUCAAAUCCCUCCUAACCAACAAUUAGAGGUAGCAGCUCUGUUCUUGGAGGGUAGAGCUGAUAUUUGGUACUAGGGAUGGUUAGUAGAACAUCCAAACUUGCAAUGGGAAGUGCUAGGGUUUAGGGUUGAAGAGGUUUGGUGACCCCUCUUGUGUUAAUGUGGUGGGAUGUUUCAAUAAACUGAAACAAGCUGGCUUAGUAUUGGAGUACUAGGAGAAGUUUGAGAAUUUAAGAUCCAGAAUACUCAAGCUAAACCCUACAUUAACAAAACCCUAUUUGUGCAAAGUUUUAUUAGUGGUUUGGAUGAAGAAGUGCAUCCUGUUUUACUUAUGCUGAAACUAGUAGAAGUCACGGAUGCCUUCCUGCAAGCAAGAAUGCAAGAGGCUUCCAUUGAGGCAAGAAGGAAGAAGUUCUGUUCCACUUCAAAGUGGAACUCAAGAGAAAACUCUAUUAAACGAAAGGCAGGAAAGCAACCUUUGCUGAUACUAGUUGGUACUAGAGCUAGCCAUAUGUUCUUAAGUCAGAAGUAUGCUGUGGAGCUCAGGCUAGAAUUGUAAGCAACAAUACUAAUGAGAGUUAAAAUGGCCAAUGGGGACCUCUUGCUAAGCACUAAAGAAUGCCAAGGGUUUACUUGGAUGAUGCAAGGGGAGAAAUUAAAUUUUAAUGUAAGGAUACUGCCUUUGAAGAGAAUGAUCUGAUCUUGGGAUUCAACUGGCUGAAAACAGUUAGCCCUAUUCAGAUGGACUUUGAGAAGCUUAAUUUCGCAUUUGAAUGGGAAGGUAAACCUCUAGUGCUACAAGGGACAAUAGAGGCAAGCCAGUGUGAAUCCAUGAGUGGAGAAGAGCUCUAUAGAAGCGUAAUGAAGGGUUAAGUGUCUAGUCUGAUUGGCUACAUCUUACAAGUGGAGGAGACCACUAUGGAAACUCCCAUUCCUGCAGAAAUGCUAUCCAUACUAAAGGAGUACAACGAUGUCUUUGAGGUACCAAACUCCCUCUCUCCUACUAGAGGGUAUGAUCAUAUUAUUCCAUUGGAACCUAAUGUAAAGCUAGUCGACUCGAGACCCUAUAGAUACACCCCUGCCCAAAAGGAUGAAACUGAGAAAUAGGUCAGGGAUAUGAUGAAGAACCAUAUCGUUCCAGAGAGCUACAGUCCUUUUGCUUCACUUGUGCUCUUGGUCAAAAGGAAGGAUGGAGGUUAGAGGUUUUGUGUAGAUUACAGGCAGCUCAACAAGCUUACCAAAGUGGAUUUAAGGGCUAGUUACCAUCAAAUCAUAAUGGAGCUGACAGAUCAACACAAGACAUCUUUUAGAACGUAUCAUGGACACUUUGAGUUUAGAGUGAUGCCAUUUUGCUUACCAAUUCUCCAGCAACCUUCCAGGCACUGAUGAACAAGGUAUUGGCACCUUAUUUGAGGAAGUUUGUAUUAGUGUUCUUUGAUGAUAUCUUCAUUUACAAUCAUGAUCUAGAAACUCAUCAAGAACACAUCAGGAAGACACUACAUGUACUGAGGACUCACCAACUUUAUGUUAAGCUAUCGAAGUGCUCAUUUGCAUAGACCAGUGUGGCGAAUUUGGGACACGUAAUCAGUAGAGAAGGGGUGGCCAUAGAUCCAGAAAGUGAAAGUUAUGGCUGAGUGGCCCAUUCCCACCAAUCUAAAGGGACUCAGAGGGUUCCUAGGCCUUAUUAGCUACUAUAGGAAAUUUGUUGAAGGGUAUGAAGUAAUCAGUAAGCCUCUCACUGAUCUACUCGAGAAAGAUGGUUUCAUUUGGACUGAUAAGGCAACUCAAGCUUUCAACAAUUGAAAGCUUGCAUGACUAAAGCUCCUGUUUUGGCUCUACCAAAAUUUUAGCUAUGACUCACACUGGAAUGGAUGCUUCUGGGAUCAGAAUUAGAGCUGUAUUGACUCAAUAGGGGAGGCCAAUAACAUAUAUAAGUCAUGCCCUGAGUGCUAGGAACCAAGGGCUUUCUGCCUAUGAAAAGGAAUACAUAUAUGUCUUAUUUGUAGUGAACAAAUGGACGCAUUAUUUGGAGGGAAGGCCUUUCAUCAUUCUCACGGAUCAUGAAAGCCUUAAACAUUUUCUUGAGCAGAAGAUCCACACCAACAUACAAAAGAAAGGCUUGGUAAAGCUGCUAGGGUUGGAUUUUCAAAUUACGUAUAGGCAAGGAAGGCUUAACAAGGCAGUUGAUGCCCAGUCUAGAAAAUAUGAAGAGCUAAGUUGUGACACCAUAUCAACAGCCUUACCUGACCAGAUGCUCAGCAUUAAAGAGGGUUUUGUUGGUGAUGUUGAGGUUCAAAACCUGAUAAUUGGAAGUGAUGUUACCAACGGGGGGACCUCAGCACUACUCUUAUGCAGAAGGGGUGCUAAGGUAUAAGGGCCUAAUAUAUGUUGGCAGUAGCGGAACACUCAGAGACUAGCUGCUAACCUUUUUUCAUGCUUCACUGAUUGGAGGAAUUCUAGAGACCAAUCCACUUAUCAACAUGUCAAAAGGUACUUUGAUUGGCCAAGAAUGAAAGCUAUGGCGAUGGACUAUGUAGCAAAGUGUGCUAUAUGUCAGCAAUGCAAAGCAGAAUAUUUUCCUUAUCCUGGACUGGUGUAACCAUUGCCUAUCCCAUAUCAAGCAUGGAAGCACAUAUCUAUGGAUUUCAUAGAAAGAUUACCAAAAUCAGGAACUAAGUAGGCCAUCCUGGUAGUGGUAGACAUGCUUACUAAGUAUGGUCAUUUCCUUUCACUGCCUCACCCCUACACAGCUGUGACAGUAGCUCAAUUGUUUAUGGAAAACGUUUUUAAACUCCAUGGGAUGCCUACCACUAUUGUAUCUCACAGGGAUACCAUAUUCACAAGAACAUUUUGGAAAGAGAUGUUCAGACUGCAGGGAGCAAAGCUUCUCUACUCCACUGCCUACCAUCCCCAAACAGAUGGUCAAAUAGUGAGGCUUAAUAGAUGUCUGGAAGAUUAUCUAAACUGUAUGGUUUAAGGAGCUCCUGGAAAAUGGCAACAGUGGCUCCCUUUGGCGGAGUGGUGGUAUAAUACCAAUUUCCACUCCAGUUUGAGGCUCACCCCUUUCGAAGCCUUGUAUGGUUACCCUCCUUUAGUGUUUGAUCUGCAGAAUCCCAUUCCACCUCGAUUGCUGCAAUAGAGGAAAAACUCCAGCACUAGCAUAAGAUCAUUGAUCAACUCAGGGAUAGUCUUGCAAGGGCAUAGAACCACCAGAAGCAGCAAGUGGAUAAACACCGAUCAGAGAGCAGUUUCCAGGUGGGAGAUCAAGUGUAUCUGAAGAUGCACCCCUAUAAAUAGAAGUUAGUAGCGCAAAGGAAGAAUAUCAAGUUGUCGCCCCAUUUUGUGGGCCAUUAGCAGCGGUCAAGAAGGUGGGAGAAGUGGCUUAUGAGCUACAGUUACAGAUUCUACAAGUAUACAUCCUGUUUUCCACAUAUCAUUGUUGAAGAAAGCAGUUGGGGAUACAGUUGCAGUUAAUCCUAAUCUACUUGAGUUGGAUGGAAAUGGAGUGAUGAAGCAACUUCCAAUAGCUAUAUUGGCUAGAAGAUUCAUCAAUAAGAGGAACAAGCCUGUCAUUGAAGUGUUGGUAUAGUGGGAAAUCAAAGUGAAGCUGAUGCUAGCUAGGAAGAUUGGCAUCCAUUCAAAGAGAAAUUUCCAGAAUUCAAGGAUACCUAAAACUCCUUGAGACAAGUUGGAUUUUACAAUUAGGGAUUGUAACGAUUUAGACCUUGUUAUUGCUUUUUGUAAGUUUAGUGACUACACAGUUAAUUUUACCUAAAGCAUGAAACUUCCCCUUUCCAGCCGUUAUGUUAUCAUUAUUAUUGUAGCCGGAAACUGUCCUUGCUCUGCAAUGUUAUUUAGCUGCAGCUGCCUUUGGGGAACAUCAAUUAAUGAACUACCAUCCAAUCUUUGCUUGAAUAUCUCUCCCUCUCAACUCUUCCUCUUCCUCUCCUCUAUCUCUCUACCUAACCCUCUUUUCUUUUCUCUUCGAUUAAAUCUAUCUUGCCGGAACCUUACUAGGGACAUUACAAGUGGUAAUCAAAUCCAGGUUUUGGCAUAUACUAUGACAUAGAAAAACGAUACUUAAUCCACAGCUCUGGAGGAGCAACUUGUUAACCUAAAAAAUAUUCAACAGACCAACCACACAAAUCUCGAAGGAAUGGUAGACCGUAAUGGUACUACAUUGGAAGCAUUGUAGACUAGCAACCCUGCGUUAUAAGCCUCAAACCAGCGCUUGGAACAGAUGUUCCAGAGGUUCAUAGAAAGGAAUCAGGAGGACCCGCCAGAUUAAGAACGUCGAGGGGUUCUACUCCGACCAUACCAGCUGGUAGCACACUUACCAAACCUCGAUUUUCCCUACUUUUCAAAUGGACUAUUCUCUUUACCAUUCAUGAAAUCCCUCCUUCAUGGGUAAGAAAAUGGACUACGCUCUUUACCAUCAUGAAAUCCCUCCUAACCAACAAGUAGAGGUAUCAGCUUUGUUCCUAGAUGGUAGAGAAAAUAUUUGGUAUCAGGGAUGGCCAGCUGAAUGUUCAUACCUACAAUGGGAACGCCCAAACUUACAGUGAGAAUCCUACUGGGGACAUUAUAGUUUUCCUCUCUAAUCUCCUCCCUAUGGCGAUCUUCGCUGCCCAAGCUCCAAUUUUGCUUCCCCUCGAUCGAUCGGAAACUAGAUAACUACCCUUCUUGGCAGCAAAACAACAACGAAAAGAGACUCUCCCCUUCCAUUCACAUCUCUGCCCAGCUCGAUUUAUGUCAUAUGUGGUAACUAGACCUCUCUCCCAUUUGAUGGUAACGAGGCCCAUCAUAACCAUCUGGUCCAUCUGACGGCCCAAGGCCCACCUCGUCACCACAACUUUGACAUGACACAAAGCCCAUAACUUCAGUCCAGGUCCAAUUAAAGUGGCAACCUUCAUCUCAAACCGGAACCAAUUAAGGCUCAUCCUCAUCGUUGGAUUCAUCCGAUGGCCCAGAUAUCUCCAACCUUAAAAUUAUCAAUUCAAAGAGUUAACUUCUAUUCUGAUUGUCUUAGUCAACACGAUACUAAUCCUGAGCCUUGCAAGCCUUUAAUACUUGGUCAACUCCUCAAAUUAAUUAAAUUAAUUCAGUUUUCCAACUACCAACUUCUAUCUAUGAAGUAAGAUUUUAAUCAAACGAAAAUUUAAACCGAACCAGAAUUCAGGGUGUGAUAACUAUCCCCUCCUAUAAAAGGUUUUGUCCCGAAACCUAAACCUCACCCCACUGGGUGGAAAGAUUUGGCGCAACAGAGUUCAACCCUAGCCCUUACACCCUUACUUGGUAGUAAAACGAUCCUGACGUGUUGUCCUUCUCAAGGACUCAACCAUUCCACUCCUCGGAAAUGACCCAAGGUCAAAUCACAACCUUAUCCUAGUGGAUCGAUGGUGGUCGACCCCUCAACAUGCCUAACCAUAGCUUAUACCCCUAAAGAGAAACCUAGAGCUAAUUCCUUGCUUCCCAAAACUCCUUCAAGCUCGAAACUAAGAAUCUGCUCUCGACCGAGCCUAAAGUCCCAAACUAAGUUGGACACGCUUUGCUAACUUAAACUUAUCCAUCUUGCCUUAGAAAAUCAUCGACCCUUCUCGACAUAGAGCCGACCCCUCAAGCUCGCUACCCAUCGAGCACCACUACCUGGAAGCCUCCUCAGAAGCCACUAAACGACCAAGGUCAAAGCCUCAUUUUCAUUGUUCCAGGUCCAUCUCACAACUGAGUCAUCCCAUGAUCCACUGUGUACAUCCUUUAGUAGUCUCCACGAGACCAAAUUUCAAAUACGGACAACACCUUAUCUGCAUGCCUGAUCGUGUGCUCUACCUAUCUCACUCCAUUACUGUCCAUCUGUGGCUAGCACACUCAUCAAUCGUGGCCAACAUAGCACCAAACUUGUGGUCUUUCCAUCCGACCAAGAUCUAAUGGCUCAUCAUAACCAUUUGAUUCAUAUGACGGCCCAAGGCACACCUCGUCACCACAACUUUAACUAGACACAAAGCCCACAACAUAAGUCCAGGUCCAAUUAAAAUGUCAGCUUUCAUCUCAAACUUGAGACAAUCAAGGCUCAUCCUCAUCGUUGGAUUCAUCUGACAGCCCAUAUAUAUCAAUGCUUAAAAUAUCAAUUCAAACAAUUAACUUCUAUUCCGAUUGACUUAGUCAACACGAUACUAAUCCCGAGGCAUGCAAGCCUUUACUACUUGGUCAACUGCUGAGUCAACUGCUAGAAUUAAUUAUAUUAAUUCGGUUUUCCAACUCCCGACUUCUAUCUAUCGAGUAAGAUUUUAAUCAAACCAAAAUUUAAAAUGAACUGGAAUUCACGGUGUCACAUAUAUACUCGAUUAAUUUGAAGUACGAAUAUAUAUUUUCUUUGUAACACGUUUGAUUGGUUAGUUUUUUAUUAGAAAAACACAUGUUUGGUUCAUUUUAAUUCUUUUUAUGAAUUAUGAAUUAAUAUUCCAUAAAAUACCCAUGAACUUGUACGAAAGAGAGCAGUUUAUAAUAUAGGAUAUUUAGUUACAAGAUGUCCUAGACAGAGAUAACAGAUCAAACUCAUGGCUACAAUUUGUCAUGCAAAAAAAUGGGGUAAAAAUGUCCAACAAAAAAAACUAAAAAACGCACUACUAAAAAAUGUCCAACAAAAAACUAAAAAAUGGGGUAAAAAUAGCUACAAUUUCCUCAUUAUCACUAGGUCCAUCUCCUCCAUUCCUUCCUCCGCCUUAGUCAUUGUCGUCAUUAAAUUUACUUUCAUCUUUCUCUUCUUCUUUGACUAAUUUAUCAUCUUUUUCUUCUUCUUCUUCUUCACUCUCACUAGCUUACUUGUAAUCAUAUUCUUUAAGAUCAAUAUGGUCAGCAUCUUUUUCUUCUUUCUCAGCAACAAGUUUGUCUCCUCCAUCAUCUUUCUUCCCUUCUGUUUUUGAUAUUGCAGAUUCUCGUUCAACUUCUUCAGGGACAGUGUUGGCUCCUUCAGCCUUUUUUGUAUCACAGUGAGAAGUAUCUCCCAAAGGGAAAUGUUUAUCUUAUAUUUAUUGUCAGUUUUUGCUGUAUCACCCUCUUGCUUAGCAACUUCCUCUCCCUUAUUCACAUCACCCUCUCGCCCAACAACUUUCUUUCCCUUAUUCACAUCACCAUCCAUGUCCAUUGUAGACUUCAUAUUCUUCAUAAAACUGUCAAUAGAACACAAUGCAGCUGUGUAUUGCUUCACCAACUUUCUACAACGAGCAUAUGCGUCAAGCAUAGCAUUCUUCAAACACAUAUCCUGUCAAAAUAGAAAAAAAGUAAAAUAGCAACACCAUAGGAUUGCAAAAAAAAUAGUGAGAAUGAAUAACAAAUAUACAAAAAAUAAAAUCACACAUAACGUAAACAAAAUACCUUCAGAAAACUGUUGAUAGUAGCAAAAUCAAUAGUAGGAGAGGAUAAGUCAGCAUUCAAGUUGUCCAACCAAAAUAUGGAUUUACGGUAAACAUAUUUGGACCUCUUCGAAUGGCGAACUUCAUGCUUUGACUCAUUUGUAUCUCCACUAGAAUUGUGUCUUUCCCUCUUACCAUCACUGUUAAUCACUAGUAAUAACUUGCCCUGAUUAGCGAUGCUUAUUAACAUAUAGAAAUUCAUAGAAAUCGGGUCAACCACACAACAACACUAAAAUGAAAAAAAUAGAUCGAUUACUGAACCCUAAAAGUAAGAACAAUUACAAAACACAACGAAACAACCACAAAAAGGAGGAUAAAAGAAGACUAGAACCCUAACAAUUGAAAGAAGGGGUGGAAAUAGAAUAGAUAAAGAACAAACGAAUGGAGAAGAGGAAAUAACAUAGGAGAUUGGGGACCAUUAUCCUCGUGACUUAGGACAUCCCAUCUGGACAUCUGAAACCUAAAAAUGAAACUAUAAAUCACCAAAAUCAGUAAAAAACGAAGAACACCAGCGACUGUGAUAGUUUGUCAAAGAAAGAAGAAAUGCGCGCAGAGAGAAAUCAGAAACUGACUACCCAUCUGAUUCAGUUUGUGGAUAAUGGUAUUUAAAAAUGGUUUUGAAAGACAAAAAUACCCCGCAUUGAAAAAGUGAGUCAAUUGUCAGCCGUAUAGAUGCAAUGGACAAUGGAUGGCUGAGAGACGUCGUGGAGUUCUUGGAACAGUAAACAACCUGGAUUCCAAACCCACCCCGUACAAAAUCAGAGACGAAAGAAAACUAUUGCCACAAACUAUUAAUUAUAUUACUAUAAAUAGACAUCCGACAGCAAAAUAAGAGAGCCUGGGUCACUAGUACUCGGACUGGACGGCUCCUCCCGUAUUUGACCCGCUCCACCAAGAUGCCGAUGAACAGGAGGACUAGGAGAAUGAGGAGGAGUGAGCUCGAACCUCCGAUAGUCUUGAAGUUUUCUUCUUUUGUACUUGCUUUCCCGUUGUUUCUCUUUGCUGAAACUGAGACAUGUAAGACUCAUGGUUAAAGUUUUUUAUUUUUUGCAUCGAAUGAUUCUCUUUCCAUGUUUUUUUCUAUUAAAUCAAAUGAGCCUUCCACUCCAUUUCCUUCCCACUCUCUUAUGUUACUGUUCUCUGGAAUUCCUCCUAUUUCCAGUCCACCAUGCCUGUGGAAUACUGCCCGUUAUGCCCUUGGUUUAACCACUCCCCCGACCGUUGCCGCUUACUAGCUACGCCUGUGGUGUUCUACCCCCAAUGCCCGUGGCCGGCUAUCCCUCACGCCCGUGGGUACCUCUACAUCAUGCCACUGGCUACCUCUACAUCACGCUAGUGGUUACUCAAUCAUCACGCCCUGUGACUUACUUCCUGUCAUGCCGGUGACCGACUGUCCUUGAAAGUUUUCCAAGGGGUGUUACUGUUUUCAACAUCAGCACGCCACUAAUUCCUAAGGGAUCGACACAGAUGCCUACCUUGCUCCUUUCAUGGCUAUUCCUUCGGCUCUCAGGUGCUUCUCAUCGUUGCUUCCGAGCAUGGUCCUCAUGUGGAUACCAGAGGCUCUUUACCUCCUCGAUGUAAUAACUCCCAAGGAGUAGAACAUUCUUUCAAACUCUGAAUUCUUCUCCACCUUGGGUUCAUAACAUUUUCUUACCAUUGACUCUAUCAAAGAGUCCCACUGGAUUAGACUCCCGAAGUCCAUCCACUAUUGCCCUUAUCACUACCCCUCGUCUUAUUGGAACUCCCAGAGUUCAACAUUAAGCUUCUGAACCAAGAAAGCAAGGUACGCUGCACUUAGUUCCUCAACCUUUUUCUUUUGUCCUCCUAAGGCUGGUGGAAGAGCGGUCGUUGAAAUCUAACUGAAAUAGUUCCCUUUUAAAACACACAAAUCCGAGAAGCCUUCUCCUAAAAUCUUUUAAAAAGACUAACCCAACACAUCAUGACAUCCCUGGACACUCAUCUACUUCCCUCAUGGAAGUCUAGUACCGUUACAAGUGUGGACUCACCCUCUCCCCAUUGAGGUUCAUGACGCCUCUGAGGAGCACAGAGCACACCGGUAGCGAUACAAGACAACAAGGCUUUGAUACCAGUUGUGACACUACACCCUAGGAGUCCCGGUCAAACCACCGGUUCAACCUAAGUGUCCUACUCGGUUUUCAACCCGAACCAUAACUCAACUCUAAUCUUCUAACCAAAGCAUUAAAAAAGCGUUAAAAGUUGAAAAACUGAACACUGUAAUACAACUAACAAACUAGGAUCCCGGAUACCAAAAUAUAAGUCAAAACGGAGAUGCAACUACAGUUUAAAAAUACAACAAUAUCGAUACCCUCAGAUAUCCAAACCCCAACCAACUCUGUCCCUACCAUCAACUCCAGUACCUAUGACUGAACACACAGAUACACCAAGGAACACAAUAUCUAAAGGGGGUCAGUGAUAAGCACUCAGUGACUAAUCCAGAGUUGCAUAAAACUGAGACAGCACUAGAACUGUACGGAGAAGAUAUUGAAACUGAACUGAGAGUAGAAUAAGAAGUCUAUCUAACACUAAACUAAUAAUGUAACCCUGUGGUCCUGUUGGCCUCAACCUAACAUCAGCCACCCCUAUCUAUGAAUGGACAAUCUCGUGGUGGAUCAGACCAUGAAACCACCUUGAAUACCAUGAGAACAGUAAUUGUAGGCAUACUCAUCACGUCCUACCUAAACCUGACUAUAACUUGGGGAAUUUCACAAUCCAUGAGUGUGUAACAGUUGCAUCAUCGUUAAAAAUUAGUAUAUCCUGAACUAUAUUGUCAAGAACUGUAAAUCACACGCCACGGUUCUUCUAUUAGAAGCUUAUUCUCAAUUCAUAUACGUUGCCUGCCUCUGUUCUAUGAACUAGGUCAGUAUUAAUUUUGCGUAGCUUCAUUCCGAUUGAACAAAACGAAGAAGAGGGGUUCUUCCAUAUCUGUUUCACUCAAUAUUUGAUUACUCUCAUUCAAGGUUUGAAUUCCAACCAUCGUCGCUCGCUACUGAGGUUGUCAUCUCGCUGUCAGAAUUGAGGACCCCUGAGAGAUGUAUGUAUCUAGCAAUCAUAUUUCUCGUUAUGCUUAUCUAUCUGUUGCGUUUUGAUUCCUGCUUCUUUUGUCGAUUCUCUUGGUGGGUUUGUAUUGUUAAUGUUACUAGCAUCUAAUUGAUAUGGUUGGGUUAUGAUAUAUAAACAAAAUCCUAAUGGGUAUUUGUUUAAACGGUGCAAAAUGUGUUAUGUAACUGCAGAAUUUGUGUUGUAUCUUCAUUAUCUUCAUCGAAAUGAGGUAAGUGUGCCCGAUAGUUGAGAUUGCUUGUUUAUUAGGGUUUGUCACACUGCCGAUUGCAUGUACGCUCUAUAUAUAGGUAGUUAGUUUUCCAUUCUAGCUGCCUCUAUAUAUAUAAGAGUCUGAUACCUGUAGCUGUGAACUUUACAAUGCAAUGAAUUAUAAUUUCAGGAAGAACAUGCUGCAAUUCUGGUUUUGCAAGAAUGUUGGUGUGAUAUCCAUCUGAUUAUAUAUAAACAAAAUCCUAAUGGGUCAAGCAGUCUCAAUCAUAUAUAUCAAAUAGUAUUUGUUUAUGAAACACUAUCCAUCUAUUGCCUUUUGCCAAUCAUAUGAAUCAGUUUUCGUUGGAUUUGUUCAGUUUUGUUGAUUUGUGUGGUGUUUGUAUUGGUUGUGUUUAUUUGAGGCAUUGAAUCAUAAUUACAUUUAUCCUUCUUGUGUUGGCUGUUGUGUACUUUAGAAAUGAACCAUAAGAAGAAGAACUAUAGUAGGAAUUAAUAUACACGUGCCCCUGUUGUUGUAAUAGUACAUUUGGUUCUUUGCUGUGGUUGAUCUUGGGUCCUGAAAUAAAAAAACACAAGUAUCAUAUUCUUUUAAUUUCCCUCUAACCUCUUCUACCUGAUUUGGUCUUUGUAUGGCAGCUUAAUUGGUUUAUUCACCCACCUGAUUGAUAUCCUAGCAAUCGUUUCCAGUUCGGUGCUCUUCUUCUCCAUCCACACCAAAUCUUCCUUUCCAUCCCAUCAGGUAACUACUUUAAUCAAUGUAGCUAGGAUCAGUAAUGCCAAGUGACAAUAGUUUGGAAUUUGCUAGCUCCCUAUCUUGAUUGUUGUUGGGAUUGCUUUUUUGUUGAAAGUUGCUGCUGCUUGGUGGCUCUCUAUAUUUGUGAUUAAUCAGAAAAAAUAAAAAUGUAUUUAUUUGCAGACAAGUUCUUGGUGGUUGCCAUGCUUGUAUUUGGGGUUGGGUUUAUUAUGAUGAACUGACGUAAUGCAUCUUUUAGCUAAUGGUAUAAUGAAAUUGUUAUUUUUAUGUUUGAUAAUUUAUUAUUUCUGUAUAGUGGACAGUGGCUUGUUAUGUUAAUUUCAAUGGACAUUAAUUAGGAUAGUGAUGUUCAUUAUUAAGCACAUACAUAGAUAAUAUCUUGGAUCAACCUUUU
RNAcentral lists this long non-coding RNA (12839 nucleotides) under Linum usitatissimum (flax). RNAcentral describes it as "long non-coding RNA (LUSI_LNC005226)". The record is from RNAcentral. Lineage: Eukaryota; Viridiplantae; Streptophyta; Magnoliopsida; Malpighiales; Linaceae.